AGAGUUUGAUCAUGGCUCAGGACGAACGCUGGCGACGUGCCUAAUGCAUGCAAGUCGAACGCAGGGUGCUUGCACCGCUGCGUGGCGCACGGCUGAGGAACACGUGGGGAGCCACCCCGGAGUGGGGGAUACCCCGGCGAAAGCCGGGACAAGCCCGCAUACGCUCGGCAACGAGGAAAGGCGCAAGCCGCUCCGGGACGCGCCUGCGGCCCAGCAGGUAGUUGGUGUGGUAACGGCGCACCAAGCCGACGACGGGUAGGGGGCCUGAGAGGGUGAUCCCCCACACUGGGACGGAGACACGGCCCAGACUCCUACGGGAGGCAGCAGCGAGGGAUUUUCCCCAAUGGGCGCAAGCCUGAGGGAGCAACGCCGCGUGGGGGACGACGGCCUUCGGGUUGUAAACCCCUUUUGCGGGGGACGAUACUGACGGUACCCCGCGAAGAAGCCUCGGCUAACUCCGUGCCAGCAGCCGCGGUAAUAC
This 481-nucleotide ribosomal RNA is filed under the name uncultured bacterium. RNAcentral describes it as "bacterial SSU rRNA". It matches the Rfam family "Bacterial small subunit ribosomal RNA", at positions 8 to 526 of the family's 1533-position model. The record is from RNAcentral.